UGGGGAAUUUUGGACAAUGGGCGAAAGCCUGAUCCAGCAAUGCCGCGUGUGUGAAGAAGGCCUUCGGGUUGUAAAGCACUUUUGUCCGGAAAGAAAUCCUUGGCUCUAAUACAGUCGGGGGAUGACGGUACCGGAAGAAUAAGCACCGGCUAACUACGUGCCAGCAGCCGCGGUAAUACGUAGGGUGCAAGCGUUAAUCGGAAUUACUGGGCGUAAAGCGUGCGCAGGCGGUUUGCUAAGACCGAUGUGAAAUCCCCGGGCUCAACCUGGGAACUGCAUUGGUGACUGGGCAGGCUAGAGUAUGGCAGGAGGGGGGUAGAAUUCCACGUGUANCAGUGAAAUGCGUAGAGAUGUGGAGGAAUACCGAUGGCGAAGGCAGCCCCCUGGGCCAAGUACUGGCGCUCAUGCACGAAAAGGCGUGGGGAGCAAACAGGAUUAGAUACCCCUGGUAGUCCACGCCCUAAAACGAUGUCAACUAGUUGUUGGGGGAUUUCAUUUCCUUA
RNAcentral lists this ribosomal RNA (503 nucleotides) under uncultured bacterium. RNAcentral's name for it is "partial 16S ribosomal RNA". It matches the Rfam family "Bacterial small subunit ribosomal RNA", at positions 355 to 842 of the family's 1533-position model. The record is from RNAcentral.